The sequence is a non-coding RNA, 89 nucleotides long. It matches the Rfam family "c-di-GMP-I riboswitch aptamer". From Rfam's summary of the family: GEMM was predicted in a large-scale screen for bacterial structured RNA regulatory elements. Genes associated with GEMM are involved in a diverse array of functions, including chemotaxis regulation, signal transduction, secretion and chitin.
AUAACGCAAAGGUAAACUUAUCGAAAGGUAAGGACACAAAGCCGUGGGUCUAACGUAACGUUUGUUACUAUGAUUGCCAGGUUGCCGAA